This 3328-nucleotide long non-coding RNA is filed under the name Sus scrofa (pig). RNAcentral's name for it is "lncRNA (ENSSSCG00000062712.1)". The record is from RNAcentral. Lineage: Eukaryota; Metazoa; Chordata; Mammalia; Artiodactyla; Suidae.
AGUUGAUUUAUAAUGUUCUGUCAAUUUCUGCUAUACAGUAAAGUGACCCAGUUACACAUAUAUAGCUACAUUCUUUUUCUCACAUUAUCCUCCAUCAUGUUUCAUCACAAGCGAUUAGAUAUAGUUCCCUGUGCUAAAUUGCAGGAUCUCAUUGCUUAUCCACUCCAAAUUCUAUAGUUUGCAUUUACUAACCCUGAACCCCUCAAACAAGAAUUUGAAUAGAUAUUUCUUCCAAGAUGAUACACAAAUGGCCAAUAAACACAUGAUAAGAUGCUCCACAUCACUACUCACAAAGGAAACGUAAAUCAAAACCAUGAUAAGAUAGCACUUGUAUCUACCAGAGAGGCAAACAUUUAAACAGACAGACAAUAAAAACUGCCUACUUAUUAUUGUGGAGGAUUUGGAGACAUCAGAACCCAUCUAUACUUUCCUUUCUUCCUUCCUAUUUUUUCUUUUUUGGCUGCCCUGUGGCAUAUGGGAGUUCCCAGUCCAGGAAUCAGAUCCAAGUCACAGUCGCAACCUACACCACAGCUUCAGAAACACUGGAUCUUUCACCUACCUCACUGGGCUGGUGAGUGAACCUGCAGCCUCCCGCUGUAGAGACACCGCCGAUCCCUCUGCAUCACAGUGGGAACUCUGCUGGUGGGAUUUUUAAACGGCAGGACAACUUUGGGAAAUAGUUUGUUACUUCCUCAAGAAAUGAAACAUAGAGUUACCAUAUAACCCUGCAAUUUCACUUUAAGAGAAAUGAAAACAUAGCCACAUAAACGUAUGUACACGAAUGUCCACAGCAGCAUUAUUCAUAGUAGACAAAAAAGAGAGAGAGAGAGAGAGAGAGAGAGAGAGAGAACAGCCUAAAUGUCCAUCACUUGGUGAGUGGAUAAACAAAAUGUGGUAUAUCCACACAAUGGAAUGUUACUUGCCCAUAAGAAGGAAUGAAGUGCUGACACAUGUUACAACAUGGAGGACCCUUGAAAACAUUCUACUAAAUGAAAGAGGACAGUCACAAUCAUAUAAUCACACAUUAUAUGACUCUAUGUAUAUGAAAUUUCCAGAGUAGGCAAGUUCUGAGAUCCCCAAAGUAGAUUAGUGACUGCGCAAAUUGAAUCGGUACGGAGGCUAGGGUUGUGAUAGCUAAACAAGAUGGGUUGCUUUUUGAGGUGGCGAAGACUCUAAAAUUGACUGCUAUGAUGGCCACGUAUAUCUGUAAAUACAUGAAAAACCACUGUGCUGUAUGCUUUAAAGGGAUGAAGUAUGUAAAUUCUAUCUCAAUUUGUUUUAAGGGCGGUUAGAAAGGUGGGGAACUAUUAGACCUUUUCAGGUCUUAUAAGUACAGAGAUACUGAAUUUCCCCGCCUCAACCAAAAGAUGACUGAGCAGGCUCCAAAUGUCCUUGCAGCUCCCUGAGCCUUGGAAGAGAGAACCAUCCAGAAUAUCUACACUGCAUAGUUCACGUGUGGGGGGGGGGAGCUGCAUUUCCUGUCUGUGGACAGACUGUCCACGGCUCUUCCCUUUCCCGGGAGUGGGAUCUCCAUUUCCUCUCAAGGAGGAUCCCCCUGGUUAGCGGUACUGCGUCCAGCUCAGCGGCUGCCCCCGGGCCAUGUUCUCCACUGGAGAGUACCUGGCACACGUUUCUCAUUUUAUCUGUGCUCUUGUUCCUCUGCCUGGCUCAUCAGUUUUUUUGUAAAACAAGCAGGAAAAGCAUAACCUUUUGAGUCACACAGACGACCCUGCUACUCUGCUGAAGUGCAGGUCUCUGUCCAGCUGCCCCCUGUCCCACUUCCUGUGGCGGCGGAUAUUGAUUUUUCUCAUGACAAAGAAAGUACUCAUCCCUUCCGGAAGGCUAACAAUUUUAAUCCUCAGUUUCAAGGGAAGCAUAGUGAUACUGACAACCCCUAUAAGGAAAAUAUUAAAGAAGGAAAAGCUAAAUAAAGUGACUUCUGUCUGGGUAGAGGAGGGAGAGAGAGAAUGAUAUUUAUAUAGACCCGACAGGUAUUCAAAAUAGAAGUGGAAAGGUCUUAAAAAGCAAGCAUCUCAGAUGGCCCCCCAGGGAAGGAAUUCCCGAUACAAGCUCUAGGUACUUCUCUAAUAAAAAUCCAGCCAUCACCAGAAACAACUCAUUGUCCAAUCAUCCAGCAGUGACUUUCAAGUACUGGUGACUAUGGGUAGAAUGAGAAAAUCUUCCUCCUCUUUAGAAGUGAUAUUGAACAUGUAAUGCUUAUGUGGAGGAAGUUGGUUUAAGUGUGUGGUUUGGGAAGAAAAAUAACCAGUGAGGAGCCUUUAGAAUGAACUGAUCUACAGCCAUUUGAACUGUGUGAACAAGUCUGUGCAGGCAGACAGGAAUGGGGUGAGUUCUCUGUGCCCCCACCCACCACUGACUUGCCUGCUGGCUUGUGCAAGGUGCUGGCAGAGUUGCCUCACCCCAGCACAACACCAGUCAACCCAAGGCUGCAAAUUAAGUUCUCUCCCCACCUUCCCAGGGAGUGGCAAUUCUGCUGGACCUCUUAACGCUCUCCUCCUAUUGGUCUCACUAUAAUUGACAGAGAUAAAGGGACUGGCACUGAGGAAAGUCACCUGCAAUGAAGACUGAAAAUGAGGGGAGCUGGCCAGUGUACAGUCACAUAAGGCACAACCUCAGCCAAGACCCAAAGAUGCUCUCUGAACAUGGAGUCCUAGGAAAGAGAUGAAUGGUGAUGGGUGGAGGGUGGAUGGCAUCCUCAGAAAGAGCAGAAAACCUGGGCCUGAUGACUUAGUACUGCCCUCAUUUUGAGACCAUGACAUUUACUGAUAGUGUUCAAGAAGAUGUUCUUAUUCUUAAAAGCUGGGAUUAGUAGGUAUGACCAACCAGAUAGAAAUGUCUGAAGAUAAUUAUUUCCAAGUUUCCAGUAUAGCAAAUGGGUUGAAGAUCAUUAGCAUUUGGUGAGACUCAGUUGUGGGUCAGGUCUUAGGCAGACAGGCAGCCAUAAACUCCCUGCAUUCAGCUCCCGUGAAAUACCAGAGUCUUACUUAGACUGAGCUAAUAGCCUCAGGAAAAAUAAUUUAUGCCAUUCAGGACAACUCAUACAAAUGCAAUGUGGAAUCUGUUUUUAUUAGGCUCUUUUUUCUUUAAGGCAACUAUUCUGUAAAUCAAAUCACCCUGAGAAAUAAAUCCUGUAAACACUGCUAAGUACUUGCCAAAGGCCCUGAAGUACAGCAGCUCCCACCAUCAACUGGGCCUUUCCCAGAAAGUUCAGGCUCUUCUUGAAUCACAAUGAAAGCCCAAGCGGGUCUUAGCUUUGUUCUCAUGGCGUGGUGGGUCCUCAGGAUGGUGCCCUCUCUAUCACUCGGUU